This is a long non-coding RNA of Tachysurus fulvidraco (yellow catfish), 607 nucleotides long. RefSeq lists it as uncharacterized. The transcript has 2 exons. The record is from RefSeq and is a predicted model, not a curated record. NCBI's taxonomy places the organism in Eukaryota, Metazoa, Chordata, Actinopteri, Siluriformes, Bagridae.
GCUGCAGCAGUUCAGAUGAAUUUACCUUCAGAACCAAAGAGCAGAGAAGAUUUUCUGUAGUAUUUCUGUUAUCUGACUCUGGAUCCAAACACAGCACAUCGUCAACUCAUUUUGUCUGAGAAGAACAGAGUGGUGAGAUGGAGUAAGACACAACAGCGAUACUCUGAUCAUCCAGAGACAUUUGACAUCUAUACUCAGGUGUUGUGUAAGGAGAGUGUGUGUGAUCGCUGGUGGAGUGGAGCAGUGAUAUAGACAUAUCAGUGUCAUAUAAAGACAUCAGCAGGAAAGGACGGGGCAAUGAGUGUGUGUUUGGAUGCAACAGUCAGUCCUGGAGUCUGGAGUGUUCUUCUUCAUCUGUCUCUUUCUAUCACAACAACAUUAAGACUAAGAUCUGAGGUCCAUCCUCCUCCAGAAUAGGAGUGUAUGUGGACCACAGUGCAGGAACUCUGUCCUUCUACAGCGUCUCUGACACCAUGAGGCUCCUCCACAGAGUCCACACCACAUUCACUCAGCCUCUAUACGCUGGAUUCUGGAUGUGUUAUAAUAACUCAUCUGUGAGGUUUUGUGAUCCAAAAUAAAAUGUUAGUAAAAGUGUUUAUAAAAACUA